GGGGGUGUAGCUCUGUGGUAUAGCAGUUGCCUAAUAUGCAUGAGACACUGGGUUUGAUUCCCAAUACCACCA
RNAcentral lists this transfer RNA (72 nucleotides) under Heterocephalus glaber (naked mole-rat). It matches the Rfam family "tRNA". Rfam says of the family: Transfer RNA (tRNA) molecules are approximately 80 nucleotides in length. Their secondary structure includes four short double-helical elements and three loops (D, anti-codon, and T loops). Lineage: Eukaryota; Metazoa; Chordata; Mammalia; Rodentia; Bathyergidae. The record is from Rfam by way of RNAcentral.